Molecule: non-coding RNA, 21 nt
Filed under: Caenorhabditis elegans
Lineage: Eukaryota; Metazoa; Nematoda; Chromadorea; Rhabditida; Rhabditidae
Source: RNAcentral
UUGAUACAUAUAUCUAUAAUA